Notolabrus celidotus (New Zealand spotty) is the source of this 907-nucleotide long non-coding RNA. RefSeq lists it as uncharacterized. The record is from RefSeq and is a predicted model, not a curated record. NCBI's taxonomy places the organism in Eukaryota, Metazoa, Chordata, Actinopteri, Labriformes, Labridae. The transcript is spliced from 4 exons.
CAGAGAGGCAUGGGGAAAUGAGGAUUUGGGGGGCAUAGACAGAGGGUAAUAAAGAAGAAUUAUGAAAUGGUAGUAUCAUCCAACUGUUCAGUAACCAUAGAAUUUAUUUUCUGUAACUUUCAUUAUGUAUUCUCAGGUUGCCAUGGUUGGAGAAAUUGGAGGUUCUUCGAUAGAUGACGCAACCCGAAGAAUGAUGGCGUUUAUAAUGUCACCUGACCUGGCACUGCAAUACAACCUCUUUGGACGUCAUGGGAAGAAACCCUUCAGGGAGCUACGUCUAUUUGAUCUUGUUUACGGAGCACUGAAGAAGAACAUCCUUACAAAGGACAUAAACCACAAGGAUGCGGAGAAGGCUUUCUCAAAAUGGUUUACAGGAGCUCGGGACAGAGGGGGCAAGCGGGCCGUCAGAGCACAGAGGGAGUUCAACAGAAGGGGUGAAACACAGGCUCUUCAGUCUCAAGAUGAGACACAAAUCCAAUAGAGGUCAACGAUCUGGUACUGGAGGCUAGGAAUCUGCUGACCUGCACCUGAUGCAGGGACCCACAUGUAGAGCAGUAUGGGAAACCCUAGCCAAAUCAACAUGGAACCCAUUUUGAAACUCUGUUGGCCCCCUCCUUGAGGCUCAGUGAGAUCUUUAUUUCCAGGCAGUAUUUGGGGCCUAUAUGGGUCUUAUAUCAAUUGCCCAGAUAGGCCCCAUGUAGAGCUCGGUUAGAUCGCAGUUGAGGCCCGUAUAGACAAUCCUAGGUGGGGCCUCCGUGAAACCUGCAGAGAAACCCACUUAGAACCUAUUUUUCAACCCACUUGAGCCCCACACAAGGCCCAGUGAGAUAUUUGUUCAGGCAGAGAUGGGCCCUCUAUGAUUCCCAUAUGAAUUGCACUGAUAGGUCCCAUGUCAAGCCCAAGUAGA